CAUGGCGGAGCGUGAGACGAGACGAUCUGCCCCUCCACAUCUCUCACUCUCUGCUUCCUUCGUCCUUCGCGAUUUCUCCGCGGAAUUCGGUGGACUUUCGCUCCGAUCCCCCGAGCUCCUUUGCUCGUCCGGGCCCCAAUGCGUGUCCCUUGACGGCGUCCUGCUUCGAUUCUGGGGAAAGCCGUCGCGAUCCCCCGCUAGGGUUUCUCUGUGUUGCAAUCUGUGUUUCACGGACAUAAUGUAACUGGAGAGAGAACAUUGGUUAAAUAAACUUCAACAGAGAUAGCUGACCUUCAAGUGGAACUUAUAAAUUCUCUGAACUGCACUUGGAUGCUUCGAAAGCCGGUCAUAGGCAAGUUCCAUGUCUCCUAGCCUUCGAGUUUUGUAAUGCUGCUGUGAUUUAGAUGCUGGGACCUAGAAAUUGCCCCUAUGUAUGUUAAAAAAUAUAUGUUAGGUUGAUUAGUUUUCGACAACCAAAACAUCUAUUGAUCUGGAGCCUGCAGUUAUCUUGUCAGUAUAUCUCUAUCAUCGAGAUGACUAAGGAAAAAACUAUUUGGUUACUGUGAAGCCAGUGUUGUUCAGCACAAAAAUAUUGGAAGGGGACUAUUUUCAUGUAAAGCUUCACUAGUUAUCCGCACAGACACCUCUAAAUCAUGCUACAGUAUAGCUCGACUAGGCAAACAAAGAUACUUUAUUUCAAUCCA
Sorghum bicolor (sorghum) is the source of this 704-nucleotide long non-coding RNA. RefSeq lists it as uncharacterized. The record is from RefSeq and is a predicted model, not a curated record. The transcript is spliced from 2 exons. Lineage: Eukaryota; Viridiplantae; Streptophyta; Magnoliopsida; Poales; Poaceae.